UACAGAUGGAACUAUUUACAUGUGAAGGCAAUGGAACAGCCUUGUUAUCAGACAAGAUGUCAUCAUUACAAGAAACAGACACAGAAGGCAAUGCAAUAACUUUGCUAUCAUUACAAGAAACAGAUACAGGACAAACAGAAGUAGAGGAACAACUAACAGAGGAAGAAGGGGAAGGAGGGACCCAAGCCAGUUUAUAUAAGCUAGCAACUUCUCUACCAAGAUCCAGAGGCCUCCUCAGAGAAGGGUCCUGUAUCAUCUGUAGUAAGCAGGAAUGUUCAGUGAACAUAACUAUACAAUGCAACUGCUUCACUAACUUGUGACUCCUGUAUCAUGUGUAGUAAGCAGGAAGGUUCAGUGAACAUAACUAUACAAUGCAACUGGUUCACUAACUUGUGAACAGAAAUCAAGUUGUGUUUAAAAGAAGGAACUAGCAGCACAUUGUGAAGAGUGAUGGAAGGAGUCAGUGCAAAAGAGCCUGUGCAUGUCACUUUCACUUUAUAGCCAUUAGGAAGAGUGACAAGAUAUGGCAGAGUUAAGGGUGUGAUGUUAAAAAGUAACUGUUUAUCUUGUGUCAUGUGAUUAGAGGCACCUGAAUCUAUAAUCCAGGUGACGGAGUUAAUAUUAGUAAGUAAGCAAAGUUUGGAAUCAGAAAUAGGGUUCUCAGUUAACAUAGUAUCAGCAAAGUUUGCAGCAUAUAUGGGAGGAGGAGUAUGAGCAGUGGAGUCCCCUAACUUGGUAUGGUGUAAUAAAUUCAUCAACUGGUCAUAAUCUUGUCUGCUCAACCCUGGUAUCACAGAGCUC
RNAcentral lists this long non-coding RNA (801 nucleotides) under Nicotiana benthamiana. Its description in RNAcentral is "long non-coding RNA (NBEN_LNC024635)". Lineage: Eukaryota; Viridiplantae; Streptophyta; Magnoliopsida; Solanales; Solanaceae. The record is from RNAcentral.